GAUGAACGCUGGCGGCGUGCCUAAUACAUGCCAGUCGAGCGAACAGACGAGGAGCUUGCUCCUCUGACGUUAGCGGCGGACGGGUGAGUAACACGUGGAUAACCUACCUAUAAGACUGGGAUAACUUCGGGAAACCGGAGCUAAUAUCGGAUAACAUGUUGAACCGCAUGGUUCAACAGUGAAAGACGGUCUUGCUGUCACUUAUAGAUGGAUCCGCGCCGCAUUAGCUAGUUGGUAAGGUAACGGCUUACCAAGGCAACGAUGCGUAGCCGACCGGAGAGGGUGAUCGUCCACACUGGAACUGAGACACGGUCCAGACUCCUACGGGAGGCAGCAGUAGGGAAUCUUCCGCAAUGGGCGAAAGCCUGACGGAGCAACGCCGCGUGAGUGAAGAAGGUCUUCGGAUCGUAAAACUCUGUUAUUAGGGAAGAACAAAUGUGUAAGUAACUAUGCACGUCUUGACGGUACCUAAUCAGAAAGCCACGGCUAACUACGUG
Molecule: ribosomal RNA, 497 nt
Filed under: uncultured bacterium
Lineage: Bacteria
Description: partial 16S ribosomal RNA
Rfam family: Bacterial small subunit ribosomal RNA
Source: RNAcentral